RNAcentral lists this ribosomal RNA (254 nucleotides) under uncultured bacterium. Its description in RNAcentral is "partial 16S ribosomal RNA". It matches the Rfam family "Bacterial small subunit ribosomal RNA", at positions 524 to 776 of the family's 1533-position model. The record is from RNAcentral.
UACGGGGGGGGCAAGCGUUGUUCGGAAUUACUGGGCGUAAAGGGCUCGUAGGCGGCCAACUAAGUCAGACGUGAAAUCCCUCGGCUUAACCGGGGAACUGCGUCUGAUACUGGAUGGCUUGAGUUUGGGAGAGGGAUGCGGAAUUCCAGGUGUAGCGGUGAAAUGCGUAGAUAUCUGGAGGAACACCGGUGGCGAAGGCGGCAUCCUGGACCAACACUGACACUGAGUGAGCGAAAGCCAGGGGAGCAAACGGG